This is a non-coding RNA of Paramuricea clavata, 876 nucleotides long. The record is from the annotation of a GenBank genome assembly. Lineage: Eukaryota; Metazoa; Cnidaria; Anthozoa; Malacalcyonacea; Plexauridae.
GUUCUAGAGGUCUGGACACGAAUGAAUUUGGCCGGGGGGUUAUCUUGUGUUAGCUUAAUUAAUAUUGGCGGAGAUUUGACGCUAUCGUUCAACUCCGCCAAUAUUCAACAUGUGGUAAUUUUUUUUCAACAUAUUUUGAACGUUGAAGUUGUGAUGGGUGCUAAAUGCGCGGCAUGUUCAAUGUCCGGUUUAACUUCAAUGUCAAAAACACAUAGGUGUUCAAUGUCAUAUUUAACUUCAAUGUCGAAAAUAUGUUGAAUGUUUUGCAUGUUCAAUGCCAGAUUUAUCUUCAAUGUCGAAAGCAUGUAGGUGCUGAAUGUCCUAUUUAACUUCAAUGUCGAAAAUAUGUAGAAUGUUCUGCAUGUUCAAUGUCAGAUUUAUCUUCAAUGUCGAAAGCACGUAGGUGCUGAAUGUCCUAUUUAACUUCAAUGUCGAAAAUAUGUAGAAUGUUCUGCAUGUUCAAUGUCAGAUUUAUCUUCAAUGUCGAAAGCACGUAGGUGCUGAAUGUCCUAUUUAACUUCAAUGUCGAAAGCAUGAUAUACAUGAAUAUUGGCGGUGAUAUGACGCCAUACAAAAACUCGAGAUUUAUUUGAAUCCAUCCUAAACAACAAACAUGUUUAAAGGUAGAAACUAAAUGACAAGAAUAAAGAGAUAGUUUUCUGUGUUUUUACCGAAAUUUGAACAUUUGGAAAUCAGGACGAGUCGGACGUAGAUGAAUGUACGUAGCAUACUAUAAAUAUUAUGAUACUUUAAUUGCAAUGUGUAAUGAAAAUUAUAAUUUUAGUUGUGUAUAUAGACGCCUCGCAAUUUUAGUUUGAGUCAAGACUGCACAUGAACUUGAGCUCCCGAAUGUGUAUAUUAUUUCAGAGUUUGCAU